UACGUAGGAGGCAAGCGUUGUCCGGAAUCACUGGGCGUAAAGCGCGUGUAGGCGGAUGUCUAAGUCUGUCGUGAAAGCGCCUGGCUUAACCGGGCGAGGUCGAUGGAAACUAUGCGUCUAGAGGCCGGUAGAGGGGGGUGGAAUUCCGGGUGUAGUGGUGAAAUGCGUAGAGAUCCGGAGGAACACCAGUGGCGAAGGCGGCCCCCUGGGCCGCGCCUGACGCUGAGACGCGAAAGCGCGGGGAGCGAACGGG
RNAcentral lists this ribosomal RNA (253 nucleotides) under uncultured bacterium. RNAcentral's name for it is "partial 16S ribosomal RNA". It matches the Rfam family "Bacterial small subunit ribosomal RNA", at positions 524 to 776 of the family's 1533-position model. The record is from RNAcentral.